CGGGCUGUAGCGCAGUGGCUAGCGCGCGUGGUUCGGGAUCACGAGAUCGGAGGUUCGAAUCCUCUCAGCCCGA
Molecule: transfer RNA, 73 nt
Filed under: Spirochaetota bacterium
Lineage: Bacteria; Pseudomonadati; Spirochaetota
Also listed under: 1 other name
Description: Spirochaetes bacterium tRNA-Pro
Rfam family: tRNA
About the family: Transfer RNA (tRNA) molecules are approximately 80 nucleotides in length. Their secondary structure includes four short double-helical elements and three loops (D, anti-codon, and T loops). Further hydrogen bonds mediate the characteristic L-shaped molecular structure. tRNAs have two regions of fundamental functional importance: the anti-codon, which is responsible for specific mRNA codon recognition, and the 3' end, to which the tRNAs corresponding amino acid is attached (by aminoacyl-tRNA synthetases). tRNAs cope with the degeneracy of the genetic code in two manners: having more than one tRNA (with a specific anti-codon) for a particular amino acid; and 'wobble' base-pairing, i.e. permitting non-standard base-pairing at the 3rd anti-codon position.
Source: RNAcentral